This 219-nucleotide unclassified non-coding RNA is filed under the name Hevea brasiliensis (rubber tree). Lineage: Eukaryota; Viridiplantae; Streptophyta; Magnoliopsida; Malpighiales; Euphorbiaceae. The record is from RNAcentral.
GAUAAGACUGAGAUCACCUGGAAAUGAAGCGGAGGUUAAUGAUGAGGAGGAGGAAGAUGAGGGGAAUGGGUCGAGUGAGAGUGAUGUCGAAGAACAUGUGGAGGUGGAAAGGAGAUUGGACCAUGAUUUGAGUAGGUUUGAGAUGAUUUACCCGACUUAUGGAGGUGGGGAUUGUAGUUACAACAAUGUCUUGGAGAAUAGGGUGGAUGAUCAAGAUAC